Molecule: non-coding RNA, 114 nt
Organism: Hydatigera taeniaeformis
Lineage: Eukaryota; Metazoa; Platyhelminthes; Cestoda; Cyclophyllidea; Taeniidae
Source: Rfam
GUGGGAUAUGGUGAUAUGCUACCUCAGACACCGAUUGGCAAAGUGAUUGGCUCAGCGUGUUGCAUUUGUGGAGUUUUGGUGGUGGCUCUACCCAUUCCCAUUAUUGUCAACAAC